This 1008-nucleotide ribosomal RNA is filed under the name Distoseptispora bambusicola. RNAcentral describes it as "SSU rRNA". It matches the Rfam family "Eukaryotic small subunit ribosomal RNA", at positions 79 to 1097 of the family's 1831-position model. The record is from RNAcentral. Lineage: Eukaryota; Fungi; Ascomycota; Sordariomycetes; Distoseptisporaceae.
CCGCGAAACUGCGAAUGGCUCAUUAAAUCAGUUAUCGUUUAUUUGAUAGCACCUUACUACUUGGAUAACCGUGGUAAUUCUAGAGCUAAUACAUGCUAAAAAUCCCGACUUCGGAAGGGAUGUAUUUAUUAGAUUAAAAACCAAUGCCCUUCGGGGCUCACUGGUGAUUCAUGAUAACUUCUCGAAUCGCAUGGCCUUGCGCCGGCGAUGGUUCAUUCAAAUUUCUGCCCUAUCAACUUUCGACUGCUGGGUCUUGGCCAGCAAUGGUGACAACGGGUAACGGAGGGUUAGGGCUCGACCCCGGAGAAGGAGCCUGAGAAACGGCUACUACAUCCAAGGAAGGCAGCAGGCGCGCAAAUUACCCAAUCCCGACACGGGGAGGUAGUGACAAUAAAUACUGAUACAGGGCUCUUUUGGGUCUUGUAAUUGGAAUGAGUACAAUUUAAAUCCCUUAACGAGGAACAAUUGGAGGGCAAGUCUGGUGCCAGCAGCCGCGGUAAUUCCAGCUCCAAUAGCGUAUAUUAAAGUUGUUGCAGUUAAAAAGCUCGUAGUUGAACCUUGGGCCUGGCCGGCCGGUCCGCCUCACCGCGUGCACUGGUUCGGCCGGGCCUUUUCCUCUGGCGAGCCCCAUGCCCUUCACUGGGCGUGUGGGGGAACCAGGACUUUUACUUUGAAAAAAUUAGAGUGUUCAAAGCAGGCCUAUGCUCGAAUACAUUAGCAUGGAAUAAUAGAAUAGGACGUGCGGUUCUAUUUUGUUGGUUUCUAGGACCGCCGUAAUGAUUAAUAGGGACAGUCGGGGGCAUCAGUAUUCAAUUGUCAGAGGUGAAAUUCUUGGAUUUAUUGAAGACUAACUACUGCGAAAGCAUUUGCCAAGGAUGUUUUCAUUAAUCAGGAACGAAAGUUAGGGGAUCGAAGACGAUCAGAUACCGUCGUAGUCUUAACCAUAAACUAUGCCGACUAGGGAUCGGACGAUGUUAUUUUUUGACUCGUUCGGCACCUUACACGAAA